Molecule: ribosomal RNA, 491 nt
Filed under: uncultured bacterium
Lineage: Bacteria
Description: partial 16S ribosomal RNA
Rfam family: Bacterial small subunit ribosomal RNA
Source: RNAcentral
GUGAACGCUGGCGGUAGGCCUAACACAUGCAAGUCGCACGGCAGCACAGUAAGAGCUUGCUCUUACGGGUGGCGAGUGGCGGACGAGUGAGGAAUACAUCGGAAUCUACUUUUUCGUGGGGGAUAACGUAGGGAAACUUACGCUAAUACCGCAUACGACCUACGGGUGAAAGCAGGGGAUCUUCGGACCUUGCGCGAUUGAAUGAGCCGAUGUCGGAUUAGCUAGUUGGCGGGGUAAAGGCCCACCAAGGCGACGAUCCGUAGCUGGUCUGAGAGGAUGAUCAGCCACACUGGAACUGAGACACGGUCCAGACUCCUACGGGAGGCAGCAGUGGGGAAUAUUGGACAAUGGGCGCAAGCCUGAUCCAGCCAUACCGCGUGGGUGAAGAAGGCCUUCGGGUUGUAAAGCCCUUUUGUUGGGAAAGAAAAGCAGCAGGUUAAUACCCCGCUGUUCUGACGGUACCCAAAGAAUAAGCACCGGCUAACUUCGUG